AGCGAACGCUGGCGGCAGGCCUAACACAUGCAAGUCGAACGAACUCUUCGGAGUUAGUGGCGGACGGGUGAGUAACACGUGGGAACGUGCCUUUUGGUUCGGAAUAACUCAGGGAAACUUGUGCUAAUACCGAAUGUGCCCUUCGGGGGAAAGAUUUAUCGCCAUUAGAGCGGCCCGCGUCUGAUUAGCUAGUUGGUGAGGUAACGGCUCACCAAGGCGACGAUCAGUAGCUGGUCUGAGAGGAUGACCAGCCACACUGGGACUGAGACACGGCCCAGACUCCUACGGGAGGCAGCAGUGGGGAAUAUUGCGCAAUGGGCGAAAGCCUGACGCAGCCAUGCCGCGUGAAUGAUGAAGGUCUUAGGAUUGUAAAAUUCUUUCACCGGGGACGAUAAUGACGGUACCGGGAGAAGAAGCCCCGGCUAACUUCGUG
This 433-nucleotide ribosomal RNA is filed under the name uncultured bacterium. RNAcentral's name for it is "partial 16S ribosomal RNA". It matches the Rfam family "Bacterial small subunit ribosomal RNA", at positions 29 to 507 of the family's 1533-position model. The record is from RNAcentral.